AGCAGCUUGCUGCUUCGCUGACGAGUGGCGGACGGGUGAGUAAUGUCUGGGAAACUGCCUGAUGGAGGGGGAUAACUACUGGAAACGGUGGCUAAUACCGCAUAACGUCGCAAGACCAAAGAGGGGGACCUUCGGGCCUCUUGCCAUCAGAUGUGCCCAGAUGGGAUUAGCUAGUUGGUGAGGUAACGGCUCACCAAGGCGACGAUCCCUAGCUGGUCUGAGAGGAUGACCAGCCACACUGGAACUGAGACACGGUCCAGACUCCUACGGGAGGCAGCAGUGGGGAAUAUUGCACAAUGGGCGCAAGCCUGAUGCAGCCAUGCCGCGUGUAUGAAGAAGGCCUUCGGGUUGUAAAGUACUUUCAGCGGGGAGGAAGGUGUUGUGGUUAAUAACCGCAGCAAUUGACGUUACCCGCAGAAGAAGCACCGGCUAACUCCGUGCCAGCAGCCGCGGUAAUACGGAGGGUGCAAGCGUUAAUCGGAAUUACUGGGCGUAAAGCGCACGCAGGCGGUCUGUCAAGUCGGAUGUGAAAUCCCCGGGCUCAACCUGGGAACUGCAUUCGAAACUGGCAGGCUUGUGUCUUGUAGAGGGGGGUAGAAUUCCAGGUGUAGUGGUGAAAUGCGUAGAGAUCUGGAGGAAUACCGGUGGCGAAGGCGGCCCCCUGGACAAAGACUGACGCUCAGGUGCGAAAGCGUGGGGAGCAAA
RNAcentral lists this ribosomal RNA (705 nucleotides) under uncultured bacterium. Its description in RNAcentral is "bacterial SSU rRNA". It matches the Rfam family "Bacterial small subunit ribosomal RNA", at positions 74 to 772 of the family's 1533-position model. The record is from RNAcentral.